CUACUUCUCAGACUUGCAGAUGCUGAGCUUGCCAGACCCAGACUCCUGAAUGUCCAUGGUCAGAGCUUGUGAACUUCGUCUUUACAAAAUGCAUCAAGAAAUGCCAGGAUGGGUGCAUAUAACCAUAGACUGCACUUUCUAUGGGCAAACUUGUCAUCUGAAAUCUGUGCUACGUAUGUAUUUAAAAAACAUACAGGUAGCAUUGCUCAGAUCUGAGAUGUCAAUUUUGGAGCUAACAUCUGUUUGUGGGCUGUUUGUGGUGCUCCUGUCUCAGGCAUGAAGCUGUGGGCUUGUGCCUCCUGAAGCCUGCCACUUUUCUGUGGUCAUUUGGAGAUGAUUAGUGCCAUCGUCCCCCUGUGCCCUCCUCUGUAGACUGGCACCUCGUUGUUGAUACUAAAUGAACCAAGAGAGUUGUCUUCAACCUGGUGGUUAAUGUGGGAGGAGGAUUUGCAGGAAUAAUACCCGGACUCCAAUUAAAAUUUACUUGAAAGAUUAUUAUAAACAUGUUCAGGAGAGGCUAUGUAUAUUAAUCUUUGAGAAAGCAGCUUAUUUGGAGACAGCUAAAGACUGACUUGUGUUUCAGCUCUCUUUAGUACUCAAGCAAGGGUUCAUAAGUCCACUUACACUUGCAUUUCAAAGGAUUUUUUUUCAGCUUCCCUUCACAGAGCCACAGGACAAGAAGGAGGGGAUGUUAGAAAAUAGUGUCUUUAAGAAUAAUGGUGCAGAAAUAAAUGUACUCAGAAAAAUUAUGGAGGAGGUCUG
RNAcentral lists this long non-coding RNA (762 nucleotides) under Anas platyrhynchos platyrhynchos (common mallard). Its description in RNAcentral is "lncRNA (ENSAPLG00000026480.1)". Lineage: Eukaryota; Metazoa; Chordata; Aves; Anseriformes; Anatidae. The record is from RNAcentral.